Molecule: ribosomal RNA, 492 nt
Filed under: uncultured bacterium
Lineage: Bacteria
Description: partial 16S ribosomal RNA
Rfam family: Bacterial small subunit ribosomal RNA
Source: RNAcentral
AGUGAACGCUGGCGGUAGGCCUAACACAUGCAAGUCGAACGGCAGCACAGUAAGAGCUUGCUCUUACGGGUGGCGAGUGGCGGACGGGUGAGGAAUACAUCGGAAUCUACUUUUUCGUGGGGGAUAACGUAGGGACACUUACGCUAAUACCGCAUACGACCUACGGGUGAAAGCAGGGGAUCUUCGGACCUUGCGCGAUUGAAUGAGCCGAUGUCGGAUUAGCUAGUUGGCGGGGUAAAGGCCCACCAAGGCGACGAUCCGUAGCGGGUCUGAGAGGAUGAUCAGCCACACUGGAACUGAGACACGGUCCAGACUCCUACGGGAGGCAGCAGUGGGGAAUAUUGGACAAUGGGCGCAAGCCUGAUCCAGCCAUACCGCGUGGGUGAAGAAGGCCUUCGGGUUGUAAAGCCCUUUUGUUGGGAAAGAAAAGCAGCAGGUUAAUACCCCGCUGUUCUGACGGUACCCAAAGAAUAAGCACCGGCUAACUUCGUG